RNAcentral lists this ribosomal RNA (521 nucleotides) under uncultured bacterium. RNAcentral's name for it is "partial 16S ribosomal RNA". It matches the Rfam family "Bacterial small subunit ribosomal RNA", at positions 355 to 868 of the family's 1533-position model. The record is from RNAcentral.
UGGGGAAUUUUGGACAAUGGGCGAAAGCCUGAUCCAGCAAUGCCGCGUGUGUGAAGAAGGCCUUCGGGUUGUAAAGCACUUUUGUCCGGAAAGAAAUGGCUCUGGUUAAUACCUGGGGUCGAUGACGGUACCGGAAGAAUAAGGACCGGCUAACUACGUGCCAGCAGCCGCGGUAAUACGUAGGGUCCAAGCGUUAAUCGGAAUUACUGGGCGUAAAGCGUGCGCAGGCGGUUGUGCAAGACCGAUGUGAAAUCCCCGAGCUUAACUUGGGAAUUGCAUUGGUGACUGCACGGCUAGAGUGUGUCAGAGGGGGGUUAGAAUUCCACGUGUAGCAGUGAAAUGCGUAGAGAUGUGGAGGAAUACCGAUGGCGAAGGCAGCCCCCUGGGAUAACACUGACGCUCAUGCACGAAAGCGUGGGGAGCAAACAGGAUUAGAUACCCUGGUAGUCCACGCCCUAAACGAUGUCAACUAGUUGUUGGGGAUUCAUUUCCUUAGUAACGUAGCUAACGCGUGAAGUUGA